This 76-nucleotide transfer RNA is filed under the name Aggregatibacter aphrophilus. Its description in RNAcentral is "tRNA-His". It matches the Rfam family "tRNA". Rfam says of the family: Transfer RNA (tRNA) molecules are approximately 80 nucleotides in length. Their secondary structure includes four short double-helical elements and three loops (D, anti-codon, and T loops). The record is from RNAcentral. RNAcentral also lists the same sequence under 30 other names. Lineage: Bacteria; Pseudomonadati; Pseudomonadota; Gammaproteobacteria; Pasteurellales; Pasteurellaceae.
GUGGCUGUAGCUCAGUUGGUAGAGCCCCGGAUUGUGAUUCCGGUUGUCGUGGGUUCAAGUCCCAUCAGCCACCCCA